UUCAGCUGAAUAGACGAUGUAAGCUGUCCCUUUGAAGGUUUACAGAAAAAUGGACAUCAAAAUUAGCCAGAAAAUUAAAAAAGACAAAGGCUGACGUAGGCUUAGAGGAGUGUUAAACGACGCUGCCUGCAGUUGAAAAAUGAAAGAACAUCAAAAGAUGCCACCCAGUCUGUACUCGAAGGUGCAACAUAUAGUUCAAAGAUCGGGCUGGAGGAAUCGGUUGACUUAGAGACAUCAGCAUGGAGCCGAAGUCAGUGUGCCUAAAAAGCAGUUCAUUUAUAGUUUUUGAUCUUGAAACAACUGUACUAGGCAGGUCCUCAGAAAUCCCUCAGAGAGCAUGCGUUUGUGGUACAGAAAAAAAUUGAUGUCUACAAGAAACCAACAUGCUGCAGCAUCAGUAUUUCUGCAUCUGAUGCAACAAUUCUUACAUAUGUUGGAGGUGUUUUGAAACACAAUGGAAAAAAUGUAGAGUCAACAUCAGCAUCUGAAGGACUCCAAAAUUUUCUCAAGUUCCUGUCAUGGUUUCCUGAUUCCAUUUUGAUAGGACAUAAUAUCCAAAAUUUUGAUUUACCUGUUCUCCUACACCAGCUGACCAAAUGUAACCUUUUGAAGGGCUUUGAGGGGACAGUAUCAGGAUACAUCGACACGUUGAAGCUUUCAAGAAAAGCCAUCGAUCUCUAAAGCUGAUGUCGGAAACUAUAAACAGCGAUCUUGUUCAGAAAUUGUUGGGAGAAACCUAUGAAGCCCACAAUGCCAUCGCAGAUGUUUCUUCUCUACAGAACUAUUUGAUCUGAAGCUAAAGUCGCACUGUGAUAGUGAUGACAUAUUUCAUUUGUCCUACUACAGUUGUAAGGUAUCUUUGGAUCCACUUGUGAAAGCAAAAGUAGUUUUUUCUGUAACAUGUAACAUUGAAGAAACUUAUUAGCCUCUCUUUAACUAUAACUAUAACUGCAGGUUAUCCACAAGCGAGAUCCCCAGAACGGAAUUCACAAUGUGUUUAGUGAGAACCUACCAAACUCUAAAAAACAACGAGUUUCAAAAUCAAAACCUGUAAUUGUCAAAGUGGUACAUUACCUUUCUAAUGUGUGAGAUA
This is a long non-coding RNA of Saccostrea echinata, 1093 nucleotides long. RefSeq lists it as uncharacterized. The transcript has 4 exons. Lineage: Eukaryota; Metazoa; Mollusca; Bivalvia; Ostreida; Ostreidae. The record is from RefSeq and is a predicted model, not a curated record.